GGACUGAAAUGGGACAAAAAGAGGCCAUACUGAGAACAGCAGGGACGAGUCUCUUCUCCAUCCCACCUGGCCCGCUGACUUCAGGCCAGAGCCCGAGGCCCCGACAGGGCCCACCUCCAGCAGAGCCAAGGACAGCAACACCCCACGAAGAGCCACGCAGAUUAUGCCUGCAGGCCGGACCCGCCCCUCAGGCUCUGGGACCACGGGAGGUCUUCUGUGAGAAGCACACAUGGAGUUUUCCUGUUACACAGGGCCUGCUAGAUCACCUAGAACCUUCUUUGACAAUGGAAACAUUCUCUGUUUGCCCUAUCCCAUGUGGUAGCCACGAGCCACAUGCGGCUUCUAAGCAAGUGAAAUGUGGCUAGUGUCACUGAGGGACUGAAGUUUUCUCUAGUGAGUUAUUUCAUUUGAACUUCAACAGCCACACAUGGCCAGCGCCUGCCCCCACUGGAUGGUGCAGAUGGGGAACAUUUGGAAGAAUGGGGGUUUGGGGUUGCCACAAUGCUGGCGUUUACUGGGUGGGCAGAGAUGCCAAACUUCCUGCCACAUGCUGGCCAACACCCAGAGGAGACCUGCCCUCCUGUGGCGGGGCUCCUGCAGGAACUGCCCAAAGUCCAACCCCAUCAACUGACUAAAGGCCUUUAAAGGGAGACUCAUGGGAUACUUGGCACUGCACGGGGAAAACCCAGGCCCGAGGCACCCCGUAAGUUGGAGGGGGCUGAGUCAGCAGCCAGCCCCUGGGCUUCCAGUCCUGGCCUGAGGAGGAGGGAGCUGCCUGGGUGAGCCCCUAUCACUGUGGUCUCAGGCCCCUGUAUUCUCUGAGACCCCCUUCCCAAGGGGGGACUACCCGGGAACCCUUACAGCACGGCUAUGUGAGCCUGGCCCUCACCCUCCCUGUGAGGGAAAGGAGGCAGGGGACAACGGGGUUGUGGAGCGCCUGCUUGGUCCCUCUGUCUUUGUCGGACCAAGCCAAGGAGACAAGCUGGUCCCCUUGGGGUGCCCUGAGCUGCACUGCAGGGGACAACCACCAGUGCUCAGACUGGGGAGUCCGCCCCCCCCCCCCCACAGAGGAGGAAGACUCCAUCCAGUUCAAGGCCUGGAGUUAGGGGCAAAGGUGGUUCCAAGAUAGCUCCCCAGCGCCUCCCCACAGGUCCCAGGAAAGGGGGGGGGCAUCUGCUGCCAAGCACAAAGUGGCUUUUUCUGCUCACCCUUUCUACUUCCUGAGCCAGGUCCAAAAUUGAUUAAAACUAAGUAAAAAGCGCUGCCCAGGGAAUGACAAAA
Callorhinus ursinus (northern fur seal) is the source of this 1281-nucleotide long non-coding RNA. RefSeq lists it as uncharacterized. NCBI's taxonomy places the organism in Eukaryota, Metazoa, Chordata, Mammalia, Carnivora, Otariidae. The record is from RefSeq and is a predicted model, not a curated record.